UUUUUUUUUUAUUAUUGUUUAUUUUUCUUUUCUCAUUUGUACAAGAAAAAUACUAAAAUAGUUUUUUUAUUGGAAAAUUAGUUUUUAAAUACAUCAAAAUAUAUUUUAAAAAAUAUAACUUAUUAUUUUAAUUACAAAACUAAACCAAAUAUCAAUCGAGUCUAGUUUAAUAACGACUCUUCGGCUUAAGGAGUUUACUACUUACAAGGCCUAUAUUUCUUAAAAAAAGACGAGAUGAGAUCCUGUGGCCGAAGUACCAAACCCAAAAAGAACGAGUUGAAUCGGAUUCUCGCUCAAAGCCUAUUCUCGAUGCACUCUUUCUCUUAUAGCGGAAUUCCCCUUCACUUGCCAAACCUUCUUCUUCCUGGUCCUAUCGAACCAGACACUGAAUACCUGGCCUUACCCAAGCCCAAGUCUAGUUUCGAAUCUAGUCUCGGCAUCAAUCCGUGAAAGCCUUCAAGCUCAAUCCCUUCCUUCUAGGCUUCCCCGCUCUUUGGGAUAGCAGAAAUACUAAAGAUCGUGACAACCACAACUAGAUCUAUUCUGUGAACAGUCUCUUUCUCAGCCAAAGUAUCUUUCGAGACCUUUCCAUCAUGACCUUUGGAAGAAACUGGCUCUCCCAUGGGAACUGAUUAGAUAACGCGUUCGCACCGUUCAAUUGAAUCAAAGAAGCCUUCCUUUGGUUCUACCUUUCUCUCUGGUUGAGUACCUUUUUUCUAUGUAAAAAUUUAAAGAAUAGUGCGAUGUAAUAGAUUCAAUGACAAGAAUCAAAUAAAGUUGAUGGGACUCUAAGUAAGACAUCCACGUGAGACUCUCGUAUAUUUUCUCAAGAUGUCAUAUGUUCUAUUAGGUGAGGUAUAAUAAAUAUAGAGUUAACUUUUACUAUUUAAAAAAUAUCAUUUAUUAUUUAAGAGAGUUAACAUUUUUAAAACUUAUAUAAUUUUGCAAAUGAAAUCUUUUAUUUGAAAUUAAAUUACAAUUGAAAAAUUAAUUUCAAGAUAUGUUGAUUUUGUUAUAAUUUAAGUUUAUUUGAUUUUUUUUAAAUAAUAUAAGAAUUAAAUUGAUCUAUUUAAUAAUAGUGAGACUAAUUGGAUAUAGUCCUAAUAAUUAGCGGAUCUCCCGCAAACUUUAAUCCAACUGAAUCUCGAUAUUAAUAAAAUUGUAUCAAUUUAAUUCUUGCUCAUUGGGAAAAAAUUUCAAAUAAGGUUAAAGUUAAAAAGAGUUAAUGUUUAUUAGUGAAGACAAAGUGAAUGGUUUGUGAUUUCCUAUAAUGUUUUAAGGAUGUGUUUGGGCAUUACAUAGUAAUUGAAUAAACGUAUAAUUAUUUGGGUUAUAAUUAUACUCUCUUGUAAUUAUAACAAAUUUUUAGUCUUUAAACGUGUUUGACUAAUAAAAUAUAAUUACAUCGUAAUUUUUUAUCUCAUGUUUAAUAAUAUAAAUUAUAAUUAUACGAUCCCAUGCAGGAGCCAAUUAACUCUCAAUCUUUGGUGCCAAGAGAUUUUUUUGAGUUUUUCAAUCUCCCCUUUUUCCUUGCCAACACCUUGGAAUUUCAGAGCUUCCAAUUUCUUCAUUAUCCAUCCAUGUCCCAAGUCCUCUCCCAAAUUCUUUCUUCCUUCAUUUAUGAUAUUCUCACGUUCAUUGCUAGAUUGAAAUUGGAAGGUCUUUCUCCGUUUUAAUUCUUAUGAUCCGAGCCUAUAGCACCGUUUGCCAACCCUAUACUACAGUGGAAGAGGAUACUCCACUCAACAUUACAAAGGAUGCCAUCUAAUUUCUCAUUUACAAAUUCGUCCCCUCAGAUACUAAUACCCUCAACCUCACAUUCCACCUAUUGACGCAAACUAAGUUGCCCCUCCUUGCUUUUGAAAUAGGGCAUGAAUCUUGUUAGAAUCUCCAAUGCAAUACCAAGCACUUACCAAGCAUUUCAUCAAAUCCCGAAGGUCAAAUUUUAGUCCUAACCAGAUGAUAACUAUUAAGUUACGUUCUUUUUAAAAUUUGAUGUGUCAAAAUAUACUUUCGCAUAUUGAUCAAACUAAAUUAAAUGUACUAAACCCACAAUUUACACAAAAUACAAGGUCUAAUAGCCCAAUCCCAAACCUCAACUCAUCCUUCAUUCUAAGGACACCCAAAUAAUUUUCAUUUUAAGUCAUCCAAGGCCCUAUUUGUUGAGGGUUCGAUGGAUUAUUUGAUGCUAAGAGCCUAAGAAAUAUCUUCCAAGGAUGAUGUGCCUACUCAGAUUUAUUAUUUAUUUCUCAAUGUUAAAAUAUAAACAUAUAUUAGGCUUACAUUCUGCUUAGGAACAUAAUUUUUCAUUAACGAGAACAAAAGGGAACUUACUAUAUACUACUUAUUUAUCUUCAAUUAUAUGUUAAUUAAAACUAUUUGACAAGUUCAUAGCUUCUAGGAUUACAAACGAAGACACUACAAGAAAUCCAUCCAUUUCCUCUCUUCUUACAGAACUUAUUACUGCAAGCUUUUUUGCUAUUACAAAUAUGAAAAACACAUACUCAAGAAGUGUCGUUUUUUGGGGGCUUUGGUUGGGCUUUUCAAGGACAUUUGUGCUUGUUGCGGUGGGUUCUCAUAUCAGUAUAACAUUUGCCACACAUUUCCCUGUUACCAUAUGUCCCUGGUGGGACACAUUUGCAUCUGUCACAGCAUGUCAUGCAAGCUCUCAAGCAUAGGUUAGUCCUUGAGUGUAAUUUGCACCUUUGUCCACAUAAUGGGAUGCAAUCUGCCAACAAAGUUGUCCAACAUGUUGUCAGAAAGAUAACAGAUAAGUUCCUUGAGUUUUGGUAAAUGAAAAAAUGAUGUUUUCUUUACCCUUUUUUGUCCUAACAGGUGGCAAUGGUGGACUUGGUGGCUUGUAAGGCGGUGCUGGAGUUGUUGGUGGCUUAACUGGAGGUGUAGGAACUGGGGGCUUAUAUGGGGGAGUUGGUGCUUUAGUUGGCGGUGCUGGUGCUGGAGUUGGUGCUUUGGUUGGGGGUGUUGGGGGCUUAUAUGGGGGAGUAGGGGCCUUGACUGGAGGUGCCGGUGCGGGAGUAGGGGGUUUAUAUGGGGGAGUAGGAGCCUUGGUUGGUGGUGCUGGUGCUGGGGGCUUAAAUGGUGGAGUUGGAGCCUUGGUUGGUGGUGCAGGAGCUGGGGGCUUAUAUGGUGGAGUAGGAGCCUUGGUUGGUGGUGCAGGAGCUGGGGGCUUAUAUGGUGGAGUAGGAGCCUUGGUUGGUGGUGCAGGAGCUGGGGGUUUAUAUGGGGGAGUAGGAGCCUUGGUUGGUGGUUUAUAUGGUGGAGUGGGGGCCUUGGUAGGGGGUUUGUAUGGAGUGGGGCCCUUAGUUGGGGGUGCUGGAGUUGGAGCCUUGUACGGCGGCACCGGAGUGGUGGGAGGCUUAACGGGUGGAGCAGGGAUAGGUGCCUUCACUGGAACAGGAGCAGCAUACUUAAUCUGAACAGUGAUAUGCAACAAAUUUAGCAAAGUUCCAUUUACAGACUAUGGUCUUAUGCACCACAAUGGCUAAUAGCAUUCAGUAUGAAAAAAUACAAGAAAUACAUUAUCCAAAAAGAAAAAACAUGAAUCAGAUUGUUUCAAAAGAACCAAGUUUAAGAUUGUUACAACCUAGACAAGACAAAACAGUAAAAUAAAUGAUUGAAAAAUCACCUCA
This 3650-nucleotide long non-coding RNA is filed under the name Gossypium raimondii (Peruvian cotton). RNAcentral describes it as "long non-coding RNA (GRAI_LNC000818)". The record is from RNAcentral. Lineage: Eukaryota; Viridiplantae; Streptophyta; Magnoliopsida; Malvales; Malvaceae.